UACCAGCUCUCCGAGUGGUGUGGAUGUUUAUUGGGCCUAAAGCAUCCGUAGCUGGCUGGACAAGUCCCCUGUUAAAUCCACCGAUUUAAUCGUUGGAGUGCGGGGGAUACUGUUCGGCUAGGGGACGGGAGAGGCAGACGGUAUUUUCGGGGUAGGGGUGAAAUCCUAUAAUCCCGGGAAGACCACCAGUGGCGAAGGCUGUCUGCUAGAACGCGCCCGACGGUGAGGGAUGAAAGCUGGGGGAGCGAACCGGAUUAGAUACCCGGGUAGUCCCAGCUGUAAACGAUGCAGGCUAGGUGUUUGGGCGGCCACGUGCCGCUCUAGUGCCGCAGGGAAGCCGUUAAGCCUGCCGCCUGGGGAGUACGGCCGCAAGGCUAGAAACUUAAAGGAAUUGGGCGGGGGAGCACCACAAGGGGUGAAGCUUGCGGUUU
RNAcentral lists this ribosomal RNA (431 nucleotides) under uncultured archaeon. Its description in RNAcentral is "bacterial SSU rRNA". It matches the Rfam family "Archaeal small subunit ribosomal RNA", at positions 474 to 903 of the family's 1478-position model. The record is from RNAcentral.